UGAGGAAGAUAAUGACGGUACUCAACAAGGAAGUGACGGCUAACUACGUGCCAGCAGCCGCGGUAAAACGUAGGUCACAAGCGUUGUCCGGAAUUACUGGGUGUAAAGGGAGCGCAGGCGGGAAGACAAGUUGGAAGUGAAAUCCAUGGGCUCAACCCAUGAACUGCUUUCAAAACUGUUUUUCUUGAGUAGUGCAGAGGUAGGCGGAAUUCCCGGUGUAGCGGUGGAAUGCGUAGAUAUCGGGAGGAACACCAGUGGCGAAGGCGGCCUACUGGGCACCAACUGACGCUGAGGCUCGAAAGUGUGGGUAGCAAACAGGAUUAGAUACCCUGGUAGUCCACACUGUAAACGAUGAUUACUAGGUGUUGGAGGAUUGACCCCUUCAGUGCCGCAGUUAACACAAUAAGUAAUCCACCUGGGGAGUACGACCGCAAGGUUGAAACUCAAAGGAAUUGACGGGGGCCCGCACAAGCAGUGGAGUAUGUGGUUUAAUUCGACGCAACGCGAAGAACCUUACCAAGUCUUGACAUCCCUUGACGAUGCUGGAAACAGUAUUUCUCUUCGGAGCAAGGAGACAGGUGGUGCAUGGUUGUCGUCAGCUCGUGUCGUGAGAUGUUGGGUUAAGUCCCGCAACGAGCGCAACCCUUAUGGUCAGUUACUACGCAAGAGGACUCUGGCCAGACUG
RNAcentral lists this ribosomal RNA (685 nucleotides) under Faecalibacterium prausnitzii. Its description in RNAcentral is "bacterial SSU rRNA". It matches the Rfam family "Bacterial small subunit ribosomal RNA", at positions 440 to 1151 of the family's 1533-position model. Lineage: Bacteria; Bacillati; Bacillota; Clostridia; Eubacteriales; Oscillospiraceae. The record is from RNAcentral.